CGACAUCGAAACAUUGUGAAGUUUUAUGGAUUUUGCUCACAUGCCCGACACUCUUUUUUGGUCUAUGAAUUUCUUGAAAGGGGUAGCUUGGCUGCGAUCUUGAGCAGUGAUGAAGCAGCACCAGAACUGGGUUGGAGUCAGAGAAUGAAUGUGAUCAAAGGCAUAGCUGAUGCCUUGUCUUUCUUGCACCAUGACUGCUUUCCUCCAAUUGUCCAUCGAGACAUAUCAAGUAAGAACUUGUUGCUGGAUUUGGAAUAUGAAGCUCAUGUUGCAGACUUUGGAAUUGCUAAGUUCCUGAGGCCAGACUCGUCCAACUGGACUGAAUUUGCAGGCACAUAUGGAUACGUUGCACCAGGUAUUUAGUAUUUAUUUGUUACCAUUUUGAGGAAUAUUUUUGUGUUAUGUGUGCGGUAGCAGAACAAUGCAACUAGAUAUUUAUCUCAGAAAUAGAGUAAACAUUUUGUUUUUUUUUUGGUCCUUGACCUUGCAGAGCUUGCCUAUACAAUGAAGAUCACAGAGAAAUGCGAUGUGUACAGUUUUGGAGUGUUAGUGUUGGAAGUGAUCAAAGGGAAGCAUCCAAGAGAUUUUCUUUCUUCGACUUCAUCUCCAUCUCUCAACACGGAUAUAGCACUUGAUGAAAUGUUGGACCCGCGUCUUCCAGUUCCAUCAUGCAGUGUUCAAGAAAAACUGAUAUCAAUCAUGGAGGUUGCUUUUUCAUGCUUAAAUGAGAGUCCGGAGUCUAGACCAACCAUGAAGAUAGUCAAUCAACAAUUACGGAUUUAACCUCAGCUGCCUUGAUUGAGUCUUAAUUUUCUCAUUAUGCUUGUAAUUUGCUUGGUUUAUUUUUCUCAUCUAUUGUAGUUUGUUUGUUCUAGUUUUCAAGAACCGGGAGGCUUUGGUUAUUACGUCAUCCAUAUAUGCUUGGUAUAUGGUGUACUCAACUCUUUCAUUUAUAAAUAAAGUUUGUUCAAUCCUUAGAGGUUUAGUUAAAAUAACGGAUGGGGCAGUGGUGAGCACAUUUGAGGACAUGUGGAGUCUGUACAAUGAAGACCAAGAUUAGUAAGAUAGUUUGUAAUAAUUAAAAAAAUAAUUUCUUGCGAUAUGUACAAACAUGUGAACCCCUCAAAUGUAAACUUGAAAGUGUGUACCACUGUACUAAUUAGUGGGUGGCUCUUACUUAUUGAUAAUGUUAAAUUAAAUGUUAAAAGAAAUCUCGGUUGAAUGACUUAAUUUACAUUUGUCAUGUCAGAGUUAGCUGAUGUCCUAUAUUUGAUCAAUGUGGAUGGCUGAUCAAAAUUAAAUAAUCCUUGAACGAGAUUGAGGCCUUGACAGAGAUACAACAUCAGGGCAUUGUAAAACAUGACUGACAUUCAAUUUUUGUAACGUAUGUGAAUUAAAUGAAUAAAUAAAAAGCAAAAGAGAAAAGAGCUGGAAAACAGAGGGAAGAUACACGUGUGACAGAGGGUGAGAGAGAUGCUACCAAACCGACCCAACUAUAGACCCAAAAGGCCGACCCGAACCGCAAACGUGACCUGGCCGUAUCUUCCGAUUCCGGCCACCCCACCGGUCAAUCUUGGUACCAAUCUGAAGCUUAGAAGCCGUCCGUCGCUACCAUACCAUCCUCUCCGCCGAAAACUAACCGGAACGCCGACGACCAAAGCUUGAAAACCCGCAACUGUUUCGCUUUGUUCCGCCGACAUUUUCGCCAGUUUUGGGUGACACCACUGGUUGGAUUUUGUUCCCCACGACUCCCUCUUCCAUUUCCGACCAUCCACUGCCGCCGAGGACAUCGUUUUGCCGUUGAUCGGCCGUUGGAGGACUUACGGGUUUGGGAGCUCAAUCCGGAGCUAUCCCCGCGCGUGGAAGGUCACCACCGCCACCGUUGGACUCAGUGUGGCCAGAUAUUUUAGACUUGAGCUUCCCGGCCAGCGUUGAUCAAAUUCCGGUGAAUGUUGACCGGCAGGGGCAUUUUGGUAAUUUCAUCAACAUAGGAGUUGUAAAUUAUAGAUAGAUGUUCGUUUCAAAUUUAUUGCAUAAAUUUAGUCCUAAUUCUUACUUAUGGAAAAUAAUUAUGUCAUUUCCUUGAUUUAAGAGGAUCCGCGAGCGAGAAUCGGUCCACGGACGUAAACGAUAACCAAGUGUGAACACCGUCACUGUGAGUGGAAUAUUACAAAACUUAUUUUCAUAGUUAAUUAUGAUAGUAAUGCAUGUUUGCGAAAUAAGUGUUUUAAAUGUUCUGAUUUAAUGAUUUUCUCGAAAUUGAUUUUGUUCACGCAUUGGUAUUUUAUUAAAAUGCUUUAUUAAUGAUUUUGCGUAUCGACUUUGAAUAAGCAUGAUAAUAUUUUAAAGAUAAGAAAAGUGGAUUAAAAUGUGAUAUGAUUUAAAGUAUGGUAAAAAGGUAUGUGAAUAUGAGUAUAAUGAUUGUUUUUUAAAUCAUUAGACAGUACCCUUCCCCUCCAAAUACAAUGAUACAUAUGAGAUGAGAUAGAGGUCUUUGGGGCCUGUCUGAACACACAUAGAGGCUUUGUGCCGUGUGCUUGGGCCCUUUUGUCAUUUGGGGACUAGAUUAUGCAUACACAUAUAUGAUGAGGUGGAUGGCUGAUCAAAAUUAAAUAAUCCUUGAACGAGAUUGAGGCCUUGACAGAGAUACAACAUCAGGGCAUUGUAAAACAUGACUGACAUUCAAUUUUUGUAACGUAUGUGAAUUAAAUGAAUAAAUAAAAAGCAAAAGAGAAAAGAGCUGGAAAACAGAGGGAAGAUACACGUGUGACAGAGGGUGAGAGAGAUGCUACCAAACCGACCCAACUAUAGACCCAAAAGGCCGACCCGAACCGCAAACGUGACCUGGCCGUAUCUUCCGAUUCCGGCCACCCCACCGGUCAAUCUUGGUACCAAUCUGAAGCUUAGAAGCCGUCCGUCGCUACCAUACCAUCCUCUCCGCCGAAAACUAACCGGAACGCCGACGACCAAAGCUUGAAAACCCGCAACUGUUUCGCUUUGUUCCGCCGACAUUUUCGCCAGUUUUGGGUGACACCACUGGUUGGAUUUUGUUCCCCACGACUCCCUCUUCCAUUUCCGACCAUCCACUGCCGCCGAGGACAUCGUUUUGCCGUUGAUCGGCCGUUGGAGGACUUACGGGUUUGGGAGCUCAAUCCGGAGCUAUCCCCGCGCGUGGAAGGUCACCACCGCCACCGUUGGACUCAGUGUGGCCAGAUAUUUUAGACUUGAGCUUCCCGGCCAGCGUUGAUCAAAUUCCGGUGAAUGUUGACCGGCAGGGGCAUUUUGGUAAUUUCAUCAACAUAGGAGUUGUAAAUUAUAGAUAGAUGUUCGUUUCAAAUUUAUUGCAUAAAUUUAGUCCUAAUUCUUACUUAUGGAAAAUAAUUAUGUCAUUUCCUUGAUUUAAGAGGAUCCGCGAGCGAGAAUCGGUCCACGGACGUAAACGAUAACCAAGUGUGAACACCGUCACUGUGAGUGGAAUAUUACAAAACUUAUUUUCAUAGUUAAUUAUGAUAGUAAUGCAUGUUUGCGAAAUAAGUGUUUUAAAUGUUCUGAUUUAAUGAUUUUCUCGAAAUUGAUUUUGUUCACGCAUUGGUAUUUUAUUAAAAUGCUUUAUUAAUGAUUUUGCGUAUCGACUUUGAAUAAGCAUGAUAAUAUUUUAAAGAUAAGAAAAGUGGAUUAAAAUGUGAUAUGAUUUAAAGUAUGGUAAAAAGGUAUGUGAAUAUGAGUAUAAUGAUUGUUUUUUAAAUCAUUAGACAGUACCCUUCCCCUCCAAAUACAAUGAUACAUAUGAGAUGAGAUAGAGGUCUUUGGGGCCUGUCUGAACACACAUAGAGGCUUUGUGCCGUGUGCUUGGGCCCUUUUGUCAUUUGGGGACUAGAUUAUGCAUACACAUAUAUGAUGAGAUAUGAGAUGGUAUUUCUCUGUCUAUCCGUGUAGCUCCGGGGCGUGACGGUACCCAGACAGUACGUCAUUGCCCGUCCGUUGAGGUCUGAAUAUGACGAGAUUAUUUCCCUGGGUACUUGUUUGGUGAUGAUUUUCAGAUUUGUGUAUUUUAUAUGAUAUUGUGAUAUGAUUUCCAUGGUUAGUAAUCUGAUUUAAAGGUUAAAUGAUUUAUUACUGGUUUCUCGUAUAUGGUUUGAUGAAAUCGUGUUUGGAAAUGACAUGAUUAUUUCUUUUAAAGUAAGAAUUAAAUUUUCAAAAACUACUAUCCACUCACUGAGUUUUAAACUCACCCUGUUUUUAUUAUAUUUUCCUCCCCUCACCAUGAGGUUGCAGGUACAUCAGACCGACCCAGCGACUGUAAAUAUAUUUUGAGUCUUGGCCACGUGAUGGUGUUAGAAGAUAUAGAUGUUUUUGGUAGGACAUCUUGGUUAUCUCAUCCUGUUGGGAUUGUAUAAUUUUGUUAUAUUAUUCUUUUGGGAUUAAGAAUAAACUGAAAUAUUAAUAUUAGUUAUAAUAUUAUCUUUUGAGACUCUGAAAAUAUAAAACUCAGCAUUUUGGUUGAGGAUGUUGAUCGUUGGAGUUUGUUGUAUAUUGAAUUAUAUUGGAAGUGUUAUAUUCAUAUUUGUAGAUUGGGAGUGUUAUAUUUAUAAAGGAGACUCUGCCGAAUUUUCGACAGAAUCUUUACUAAUAGAAUUAUAAUCAAUUCUGUUUUGAUGAGACUAGUUAACUCGCCCGGGAGGAAUUUGGGGCUGGUCGUUUCAAUUUUAGUUUAUGAAUUUCUUGAAAGGGGUUGGAGUCAGAGAAUAAAUGGGAUAAAAGGCGUUGCCGAUGCCUUGUAAAAUUCGUUUGUUGCCAUUUGAGGAAUAUUAUCAUGCAACACAUUCUAUAGAGUUAUAAAAGCUUACUAAUUUAUACGCAUUGAUCUUUCAAAAGAGAGUAAACAUUUCUUAUUUUCUCUUUUUUAUUUGUCCUUGACCUUUCAGAGCUUGCUUACACAAUCAAGAUCACAGAAAAAUGACGUGUACGGUUUCAGAGUGUUAGUAUUGGAAGUGAUCAAGGGAAAGCAUCCAAGAGAUCGGAUGUUCUUUCCGCAGUUUCAGCUUCGUCCUCCAAUGCCAUUUGAUGAAAUAUUGGAUCCUCGGCUUCCACCUGAUCCAUUAUUCGAUGUUCGGAGGAAGUUAGUAUCAAUCACGAAGGUUGCCUUCUCUUACUUAAAUGGGAAUCUAGAAUCCAGACUAAUUAUUAUUGUUCGAGUUUCAAAUAUUUGCCUUCAUUUCCCAUUGUUUGUUACUAUCAAUAAACACGUGUGCUAUACGUGGCAACUCAACUUGCUACGUGGCCUUGAAUUAGUCUUUGUUGAAUAAGUCUUGUUUGUUAGUUUUGGUUAUUAAGUCUAGAUUCCAUUUGAAUGAGUCUUCUUAUUUACAAGAAACUGAAUUUGUAAUAUUUCUAUUUAUUUGAAAUUCAGUGAAUAAUAGAAGGGGUUUUUACCAACUUCACUUGAAGUCUUACAAAGGAGGAUUUUGGGUUUCCCUCGAAGUACCCAAGUGUUAUAACUUUAUUAAUUCUCUGUUGAAGAAAAACUCUGAAACGCCAAAAUAGGUAGAACUAAGGACGCCAUACCAUUCUUGCACGAGUUAAUUAUACGUAUCAUGCUUAUGCAGGCCUUAAGUUGGAAUAAAAGAAUGUUUGUUGACAGAAUUUUGCAACUAGAGGAUGAUGUACUUCAUAAUUAGUCUGCCUUCAACACAAAAUAGAAAAUUUAGUUGACAAAUGGCCACAAAAUACUAGCUUCGUUUUCGCUAAAAAAGAAAUAAAAUCUGCUUCUAUGGCCUCUGUAAACUAACUGCUUCAAUGCCCCCAAUUUCAAAACUAUCAUUGAUAUAGAGCCAUUGAACCUGGGCUCCAUAUUCAACUUUUCAUAGUUCCAUUUCAAGCGCGAAGCUUUUGAGAGCGUGGACACACUUGACACUAGAUAACCCUCAGCCAUAAUUUUGCUGCAAAAGCCGAUAUAAUUAAUGGACCUUAUUUGCACAAUUUUGGAAAAAAUAUUUGGACCAAUUUCGGUGUUCAGCUGAGCUUGUGUUGACUAUUAAGCACUAAAUCAAUAGUCAAGAAUUUAUCCAACACGAGUUUCACAUGGAUUCCAAUGAACUCUUGACCAUAGAUUCUGUACCCAACACAAUAUGCUUAUGGUUUAAAAAUAAAAAAAAUCAUGUUAAUACUUUGUAUUAAUACUUAAUGCAUGGACAAUCGUUUUCUUUGUGCACAGACUUGUCGAUAAAAAAAAGCUUAAUGGUCCAUCUAUUAGUUAUUAGUUUACAUCUACUUAGGCUCCGUUUGGUACAACUUAUUACAUAGAGCUUAUAACAGUAGAACUUAUAGCAGUAAAGCUUAUACCAAUAGAGCUUUUGGACAAAAAGUCAUUGGGUGUUUGGUUGUCAAUAAAAAAAGUACUUUUGAACCAUUAAACUGUGUGAUAUUUUUUUAUUAUAUAUUUUUAGAAAAGCUCUCUAACCUCUACUCCCAAAAGCUCAAAUUUUGGGCUUUUGCUAGUAGAGAUAAAUUAGCUUAUUUAAGCUAAAAAAACUCUACUAAAAAAAUAACUAAACACCAUAAAAAUUUUAAAAAAGUGCUUAUACGAUUAAAAAAGCACUUAUGGCUCUUAAAUAAGACAUACCAAACAGGCACUUAAUCUGAUUAGGAUGAAACGAAAUUAAUUGUUUCUUUGUUUUAAAAAAUAAAUAACUAAAACUUCUUGAAUAUUCGAGAAUUAACAAAAUGAUUGUGAAUGAAGUUUUGUUUGGUAUUAAGGUAUUGUUAUCUUUAAAUCACGAUUAUUGUGAAUAAUAAAACUACAACAAAAAGUAAAAGUUGAUAAUAUAUAAUAAAUAUAACUUUUAAAUGAUAGUUUUGAUAAAAAAAAAAUAUUAUAAGUUUUCUAUCAUUAAAAUCAAAUCAUUUUAGCUUGCAAGUCAUAAUAAUGAUAGCUAUGAACUCUUUCAUAAAUUUAUUUUGUAUAAAGUGACAUGGAAUAAAUUCAUUGGUUAAGUAAAAAUAUGAAGCAAUAAAAAUAAUUUAUGUGAGAUAAAAAUAUUUUAUUUAAUUAGUUUGUAUAAAAUAAAUUUAUAUAAAAGAUUUGUAAUUAGUUGCAAGUGACAAUGAUGAUAGCUAUAAACUCUUGUAUAAAUUUAUUUUGUAUAAAAUGAUGUGAUAUAAAUUUAUUAAUUAAGUAAAAAUAUAAAAUAAUAAAAAUAAAUUAUGUGAGAUAAAAAAAUAUUUAAUCUAAUUAAUUUAAUCAUGUUACGUUUGUAUAAAAUAAAUUUAUAUAAAAGAUUUGUAAUUAGAUUACUGCUCUUGUAAACCAGCACCGAUAUGUACAUUAUGCUAUUUUCCGUCCAAUACGAUUACUAUUAAAAAAAGAAAAACAUGGACCCCAUCGACGAGACCUCACGUGGGCCCACAAAUCUUGAUGAUCACAUCUUUUUCAUGUGAAAAAAACACCCCCUUACAACGACACCGUCUUUUCUUUGGCUUUCCUUUAGUUGAUCACUCAUCUGAGAAAGUUAAUUCACCGUCCCCAAUUUCCCAAUGAAUAAAAUAAAUAUAAAGGACUCGUGCGUCCCUUCCCUUUCCUUCCUGUUUUUGUCACCCGCCUCUUCCUCAUCUCGCCACUUGUUCCCCCCACUACGCCCACAAAACGUCACCGUUUCAUUCUCACUCCUUCCUCACACCCCUCCUUUUCCCCACAUUCCUUCGUUUCAUAUCAACUCAAAAAUUCAUUCUUUUAACAUUAAUAAUAAUAAUUUUAUUGAGAUAAGUCAAUCAAAAAGGUAACUCCAACUAUCUCGUCCAGCUUUUUGCUGCUUCUUAAUUUUGAUCGACUAUGACGAUGUACCAAAGCUUCAAUUUUUUUCGGUUUUUUCAGUUAACGCUUUUGCUUCAAGAUUUCGUUUUACUUUCCUUGAAAAUUGAUACGAUUAAAAUUCUUUUUUUAGCUGAAGAUUGAUACAAUUUUCACUUCAUUUUUUUCUUAACUUUGUAUCCGGAUUUGCUGCUUUUGUUUGAAGUUUUUAUUUUUUUGUAUUUUUCUGUGGAGCUAAGCAUGACUUUGGUUACAGCUAUAUAUUAUUUUAACAUAUAAUUAGACUAAUUUAUUUAUUUGUUGAUUUGUUAUUUUUUAAAUAUGGUUUGAGACUUCUGAUGUUUCAAUAUUUAUUGCACACGUGUAAUGCAGUGGCUUUAAUAAAUGUGGUAUUGUAAAGUUUAAAGCUUUUUGCAUGUGAAUGAGUUGGUGUGAACACUUUCAUUGAUGUUUAGAUUCAUGUAUGUGGUGAUCUCACACGUUAGAUUUUAAUUUUAUGGCAUGGCUCAUUUGACCAAAUUUUGUUGUUACUUGAACUGAUGAACGCGAAUUUCGAAGUGAAUACGUGUGUUUGAUUGAUUGGAUUUUGUAAGAUUCCUUUGUAGAAGUAAUUUAAUCCCUCGAAUAGUAUUAUUCAACAAAUAGCUUUGGGAAUGGUAUUGAUUCUAUUCUUGUUUGUUUCACAUAAGAACUUUGAUGCAACCUUCAGAUUCCUUCUGAACCAUGUAGUUAUCUAUUUGGAUUAGUUUAUAGCAUAUCAACUAUUGAUUGUUGCAUUUAGAUGUUUUUUGUUACUUCCAUUCUUGAUUUCUUAUCAUAUGUUAGUUAAAUAGCAAACAUUAUACAUGUUCUUAAUUGAUUAGUGCUCUUUCAAUCAAUGCUCUUUCAAGCACUUGGUCUUUGGCCAAGUGGCUAGAGUUAUUCUCUCACAAGUGUGAGGGUAGUGGUUAGAACCCCCACAAAAAUAUUGUGGGGGUUUAAUUUCUUUCCUCACAUUUGAGUGAAGGUAGUCUUCUCCCUUUCGAAAUGUGAGUGAAGUUGACGUCUCUCGAAUAUUAAAGAGGGUAAAAUCUGGACAGUAUUAUAUAAGAUUUAAUGUAAAUUAAUCUCAAUAAUUACCUGAUUGUAUAUAUUUGUCAAGUUCCCCCCUCUUCUGUACCCUAUAACUAUAGUAUACCCAAGCCACCCCCUCUCCCUAUUAAACCCUGUACAAAAAACAAAUAUCCCAAUAGAUUUUUACAUUGUAGUUUUGUUUAUCUUUAAUGUUUUCACCAAGUUUUCACUAGAAUCCAAUUCGAAUUAAUUGAGUGGUUAUGGUUGAAUCCAACUUAAAUCUAGGUUUAAAUGUGUUAAAUUUAGGUUAAAAUGUGUUUUUUGAGAGAAGCUUAUGCUAAAUUUAGGUUUAAAUGUAUUUUCUAAUGUUCGGGGCAAGUGACUUAGAUAAGAUAAUUAGAUGGGGAGUUAAAGUGAUAUAUAUAGUGAACUGAGGUGGUCAUUUGGAGAAUAAUAGAGAGAGCUUAGUGGAGUUCUGUAGGAGUUAAUUUAGAGAGUUGAUAUGAGGGCUAAUUUGUGCUCAAGAGUAGCUCAAGUGUGCUUGGUGGAUAAUUCAAAUGGUCUCACAAACUACUUAGUGUAACUGAAGUAGCUUAGAUAAGCUCAUAUGUAAAAUAUAAUCCCGAUCUUAAAUUGAGAAUAUAGUAAAAUAAGCUUAAAUAUAAAGAACGCACAAUGUUUACGUGAUUUGGUCUUUGACCUAUGUCCAUAAGAGCAAGUAAUUACUAAUCCACUGUAUAAAUGAGAGAUUACAUGAAAUUUUAAGAUGAAUAACACAAGCUAUAUAGCGAGAUAUCUAUAUAAAGAUGUUUGGUGUUAAUAAAUAUGAAGAUGGUGAAUAAAGACACGAAGAGCGAUAAUAUGGCAGAAAAGAUGAUGGGGGUGGAGAAUAGAAAAUGGACUCUUAAAAAUGAAGAAGUUUGUGGUGAUCUAGAAGAUAAAGAUAGAGAGAGGAGAGCCCACAAAUAUGGGUGAAUAGGACUUAGUGGAGGCUAAUGUCUCGAUCAUAAAAUUUAGGGAUAGAUGUCAUGCUUAAGUCAAAAGAAGAGGAAUUUUUUAAGGCUAUAUGUCACAUCUUAGGAAAAAUGAGUAAGAAUAUUCUUUUUGUACUAGGUUCAUUUUUAUUAUAAAUAUUUUGGAAUGUCCAACAUUGACUAUCGAUUUCCAAAACCAUCCAAUGUAGGAAAUUCUUCUAAAUGGCUUCUUUAAUUGCUCCAAAUAUCAUGCCUAUUUUGACCUUACAAUUGUCCACGUGUCAUCCAUUUAUUGCUCUCAAAAUAUACUUCUAAAUUUACCCCCAAACAAGUGUUGGGAUUAUGUGCUAUUUUAAACAUAUUAAUUUAUUUUCGGAUUAAUAAAAUAUUUGAGAUAUUUUCAAUUGUAUAAAUAUAUUGAAAAAGGUUUGUUUAAUCAUAUUAUAUAUAUUUAUGUGAUCAUCAUAGACAUAAAUACAAGUUAUCUUAUGAUUAAAUAAAUUAAGUUCGCAUUUGAUAAAUAAAGUUGGGCGCUUUAUUUAUGUUUAGACUGUAAUAAAUUCAUUGAAUGAUUUAUAUUAAUCAUGUAUGAAUUUACUGAUGUAGUUUGACUACAUUGAAUUGGAUCACAUAUGAGAUUUAAUUAACCUUGAAAUGACUAUCAGACUCAUUAAAUCUCAUAGGCAUUGAUUUUAUUGUAAUCUUAAUCUUGAGUUAAUUAUGAUUUCAUGAUUGUAAUUGUUAUUCCAUUUGAGUUAUCAAUAGGCACGACACACACUUGUGGUCAAGAUUACCCGGUAUCUUGGUGGGAGUAAUUAUGAGUAUUGGAGUUAUAGAUUAACAAUAUAGAAUUUGUACGACACAUCUCUUGAUGGGUUUUCAGCACUUUAUCAUUAUUUAAUUGACUGCAACGCUACUGGAUUAAUAAACAAGAUAACUAGUUGAUUGGGUCAAAAGCCUAAAUAUAUCAUUUAGUGGGAGGCUCCAUUUGAUAUGCUUAUGUGUAAGUGGCCUUAUGUUAUUUUACAAAGUGGGCUCCCUAUAGGAAAAGCAAGUAACGUGACUUUUGUUUUUUAUUAUUUGGAGCCUAGGGUUUACACUAAAUGAAGAUAUAAAAAAACUUAUUUUCUCUAAAGAAAAAAAUAUAGAGCCACAUUAUACAAUUCAGAGAAAAAAAAUUCUCUCUAGUUUUGAGAGAAAAUUUUUUCUCCUUGCUAGUUUCUUUUUAGUGGUGAUAAAGGCACCCACACGUCAAGUGCAUAUCAAACCUGAGUCAUAACCUGAAAGAUUGUUUAGUGACGGAUCGUGAUCUAACCAGCGCGUGAAAUGCAAGUUAUGCAACCCAAGAGGGGGGGGGGGGGGAAUUGAGAUUUUAAAAUUUAUGCAAUACAAUUCGCACAACAAUUUAAUCUAUUGCCUUAAUCAAAUAAAAAACAAUAAAUUCAAUCAAGCACAAUAUGAAAAGAGUAAGGGAAGAGAAAACAAACACAAGGAUUUUUACAUGGUUCGGCUAUUCCCGCCUACGUCCACACCUCCAAGCUCACCCGGCUUGAAGAUUUCACUAUCCAAGCCUCCCAAUGCUUCAAAUAUUUACAAUUGACUUCUCAGGUGUCAAUGGACCUUUACAACAAGAGAUUAUAUCCCCAAUCUCUUCACCAAAGUGUUUCUCACACUUGUACACUCACAAUUUGAUGAGAAAUUAAAAUUACAACAAUGAAACUCUCUUUAAGAGUGAAUAUGCAAGUAAUAGCUCAACAAUGAUUCAAUCUAUGAUUAUUUGCGUUUUGAAAGCUCAAUAUAUGUUAUAUGAUCUUAUCUUUGCUUGCAUUAGUUCAUAGAAUGAAGUUUGAGUUGAGUUUUUAUAGUUAAAGCGCUCAAGGUAGCCGUUAUAGGUAAAUUCCAGCGCCCAAGCGGUUAGCCGCUUGAUUUAUCCGGCUAGCCGCUCAGGAACAGUGAUAUUACCGUUAUUUUUGAAUUUUGCUAUAGUAAUACUAUUCACUAAAAUUACACUUUGGUCUAAAACUUUAUAUAAUUAUAAUAUGGUCCAAAAUGUCAUAAAACUGUGCAAAUAAGUCCAAUUUCAGAAUUUCCUAAAAAUAAUUAUCUUUCCAAAACUUUCUGAAAUUAUGAUAUGACCCAAAAGAUAUUAUUAUUUUUCAAAGAGGUCCUUUUCAAAUUUAGCAUAAUACCUAUUUUUUCAAAGUUCUCAAAAUCUUUCACUUUAAUCCAAAAAUUGAAAAUAUAAGAUUUUCCUCGGGCAGCUAGCCGCUAGCCUCAGGCGGUUAGCCGCUUCCUCUCUGUCCAAUUUUGAUUUCAAGUGUUUAGAUUACAUUCAGGUCCUCAAACUUUCAUAAAUUAUAUUAUGCCCCAAAAUAUUCAAACCUUUGCAAAUAAGUCCAAAUAUGAAUUUCAAAAUAAUAUUUAUUAAACUCAAAGAUUAAAAAACUUUUUUAUUUUAAUCCAAAUUACUCAAAUCCACAAAACACCUUAUCUUAUAAAUAUAAAACCUUUUAGUUUAUAAAAAGUAAUUAUUAAAUUAAUCUUUUGAGCUUCUCAAAUGCUAAAUCAUGCAUUAAUUAAAUUAUACCUGCUUUACAAGAAUUUGUCGCAAUAAUUUGUCCGUUGAGCUCUAAACUUUAUUCUUGAUUUCUCUAUUGUCCGUUGAGUGUCUUCAAUCUUGAUUUCACUUGAUUCACUUGCAUAAGUAUUAUCCUUAAAAAACUAGUGAAAAUGUGAAAUACAAUAUUUAUUAUUUUUACUUAAGACACAUGUUUGUUAUCAUCAAAAUUACAUUAUGUGUAGCCCUUUAGGCUAACAGCGCGAUGGUGACGGAUCGUGAUCUAACAAUCGUGGUGGUGACGGAUCGUGAUCUGAGAGCCUAGAAUAAUUUCCAUUGUUCAUCUUCUUGGAUUAUUAAAGUACAAUUUUUAGAUUACAAAUUCUCAUAUGUUGUAUGAGAUCGGUCCUAAUUUUUUUUUAAAAGAAAAACUGAUUUUUCUCCGGUAACAAGAUCUCUAGUUUUUUAUGCUGUGUUGAAGAAUUAAAAGACAAGAAACUCUAAUGAAAAAUUUGGUCUUGUUGACACAUGGUUGCUUCCAGUUGUUAGUUUAUAUGUCUUGUAAUCCUUUGGAGCGGAUGAGGUAAUAGAGGGAGCUCAGCCCUCCUAGUAAAACAAAUUUUUUUUAUAAAUAUCUUUAAUGGUGACUUAUUAUAUGAGUUUCCUUAGAUUGAUGUAAAUACCUAUUUUUUCAAAGUUCUCAAAAUCUUUCACUUUAAUCCAAAAAUUGAAAAUAUAAGAUUUUCCUCGGGCAGCUAGCCGCUAGCCUCAGGCGGUUAGCCGCUUCCUCUCUGUCCAAUUUUGAUUUCAAGUGUUUAGAUUACAUUCAGGUCCUCAAACUUUCAUAAAUUAUAUUAUGCCCCAAAAUAUUCAAACCUUUGCAAAUAAGUCCAAAUAUGAAUUUCAAAAUAAUAUUUAUUAAACUCAAAGAUUAAAAAACUUUUUUAUUUUAAUCCAAAUUACUCAAAUCCACAAAACACCUUAUCUUAUAAAUAUAAAACCUUUUAGUUUAUAAAAAGUAAUUAUUAAAUUAAUCUUUUGAGCUUCUCAAAUGCUAAAUCAUGCAUUAAUUAAAUUAUACCUGCUUUACAAGAAUUUGUCGCAAUAAUUUGUCCGUUGAGCUCUAAACUUUAUUCUUGAUUUCUCUAUUGUCCGUUGAGUGUCUUCAAUCUUGAUUUCACUUGAUUCACUUGCAUAAGUAUUAUCCUUAAAAAACUAGUGAAAAUGUGAAAUACAAUAUUUAUUAUUUUUACUUAAGACACAUGUUUGUUAUCAUCAAAAUUACAUUAUGUGUAGCCCUUUAGGCUAACAGCGCGAUGGUGACGGAUCGUGAUCUAACAAUCGUGGUGGUGACGGAUCGUGAUCUGAGAGCCUAGAAUAAUUUCCAUUGUUCAUCUUCUUGGAUUAUUAAAGUACAAUUUUUAGAUUACAAAUUCUCAUAUGUUGUAUGAGAUCGGUCCUAAUUUUUUUUUAAAAGAAAAACUGAUUUUUCUCCGGUAACAAGAUCUCUAGUUUUUUAUGCUGUGUUGAAGAAUUAAAAGACAAGAAACUCUAAUGAAAAAUUUGGUCUUGUUGACACAUGGUUGCUUCCAGUUGUUAGUUUAUAUGUCUUGUAAUCCUUUGGAGCGGAUGAGGUAAUAGAGGGAGCUCAGCCCUCCUAGUAAAACAAAUUUUUUUUAUAAAUAUCUUUAAUGGUGACUUAUUAUAUGAGUUUCCUUAGAUUGAUGUAAAUUUAGAACGAGUUUAGGGUUUUUUUAAAUCAUAUACUUGGGAGGCUCCAUAAGAACUUUGAAAGUUAAAUUAUCUAAUGAAGAUCAUUUUUUAGAGGGAAAGAAAUCAACUUCCAAGACAUCUACCUCCGCAAAUUAGCUUACUUAUUGGUUGAACUUAUGUACCUCUGCAUAUGGAUUUAACGUCAAUUCAAUCCCAGGAAGCUUCAAUGCUCUUCGGAACUCCCCAAAGCUUCACAAUGCUCUUCCGUCACUCACAAUGCUCUUUGGAACUCCCCAAAGCUUUACAACAUGCUUGAUGAAGAGGCGGGCUGCUUCAUCAACUUUAACAUCGACCGGUGAGGCAAUGAAAAUGGCGUACUUACUGUAGCGGUCGACAACGACCAUAAUGCUACCGUAACCUUUAAAUUUAGGCAGUGUUGUGAUGAAGUCCAUAGAGACACUCUCCAAUGGCCUAGUCACAAGCGGUAGAGGCUCCAAUAAUCUCGCUGGGAGUUGGUGAUCUACUUUGUAUUGUUGGAACACAAGACAAGUCCGCAUGUAUGCCUCGAUGUCGUCUCUCAUGUGUGGCCAAAAGUACGAGGCUUGAACUAGUGCGGUGGUGCACUCGAUCCCUGUAUGUCCAACCUACUUGGAGUUGUGGCACUCCUUGAUGACUUCCUUCCGCAAAUUUCUCAACCUUGGCACGAAAAAUCGAUCUCCUUUGGUGAGAAGGAUGCCUUCCUCUUGCCAAAAUCGCCUUGUCUUGCCUUUAAGCACCUUCUUCAACAAGUCUUUCGCUAGAGGAUCUUAUUGGAGGCCUUCUUUGAUGCGUAAAACAAGGUCAGACUUUGGUUGGCUCAUGCUAAGUGUUGUCAAUUCCGCCAUACGACUUAGAAUGUCUGCAACAAUAUUGGCUUUACCCGGCUUGUACUCGAUCCGAUAGUCGAACUCCAUAAGAAAAUCUUGCUACCAAGCUUGCUUGGGGCUCAACUUCUUUUGAGUUUGAAAGUAGCUUGUCGCCACGUUGUCCGUCAUGAUCGUGAAGUAAGAGUUAAUUUUGAGUUUGAAAGUAGCUGGGGCUCAACUUCUUUUGAGUUUGAAAGUAGCUUGUCGCCACGUUGUCCGUCAUGAUCGUGAAGUAAGAGUUAAGCAAGUAAUGUCACUACACUUUCAAACAAUGGAUGAUGGUUGUCAUCUCCUUUUCUUGCACAGUGUAGCAGCGUUCCGUAUCAUUUAGCUUUCAGCUUUCGAACAUUGCGGGGUGGCCUUCUUCCAUGAGGACUCAACCGAUGACAAAAUCCGAGACAUCCAUUUGGACUUCGAAGGACUUAGUGUGGUCCAGAAGAGCGAGGACGAGUUCUUCGGAGAUUGCAUUAUUUAAGUCUUCGAAUGCACAUUGGUACUCUUCGGACGAAUGCCAUGUCCGAUUUUUCUUGAGCAAGUCAGUCAAGGGUGCCACUUUGACUGAAUAAUCCUUAAUGAAGUGGCGAUAAUAAUUCACCAAUAUGAGGAAUGAGUGAAGCUCGAGCAUUUUCGAGGGAGGCUCCCAUUCGAGAAUGGCCUUCACCUUUGAGUUUUUCAUCAUUAGUUUCUCGCCCGCAAUCUUGUGGCUGAGGAACUCCACCUCUUAUUGAACAAAUGAGCACUUUUCCAUUUUGAAGAAGAGUUCGUUUUCUCGAAGCACUUAGAGGACUUAUCGCAAAUGUUAAGUAUGUUCCUCAAGUGUGGUGUUAUAUACCACGAUAUCGUUCAAGUACACGACCACAAAAUGGUCGAGGAACAGUUGAAGCACCUUGUUCAUGAGUGUGCAAAAUGUUGCGAGUACAUUGGUGAGGUCGAAUGGCAUAGAAGGAAUUCGAAGGACCCGCACCUUGUUAUGCAUGCGGUAUUGGGUUCAUCUCCCUUGGCAUGUUAACUUGGUAGUACCCAGAGUACAAGUAGAGUUUGGUAAAGUGAUGCCUUUACCAAGCUGGUUGAAGAGAUCCGCUAUCAAGGGAAUUGGAUAUUUGUUCUUGAUAGUGAUCUUGUUGAGCAGCAGACAUAGCCCUUUCCUCCAAUCCAUCAAGGGUGUCUUGAACAGCGGACAUAGCCGUUUGGAGCGUAGCCAUGCGAGGCUCCAAGGCAUCAACAGAUGGGGCCUUGGAUUUGCCGCGAGACUUGCCAUGAGCGCAUCCCUCUUUGCGACCGUGGGUUGGGCUUCGGUGGAAUAUCCACACCAAUAAUGCCCUCUUGUGAUGUGUUAGGAGGGUUGGCCAUUGCUCGUGAGCUAACUUUACAUGGAUGAAACCUUAGCUCUGAUACCACUUGUCAUGAAAUGAGUGUUUUGCGCAACGAACCCGUGCGACACUUAGACAACUCUUGCCGAAAGUUGCUAAGUAAGCCUUUGAGCUUCUCGACUAGCUAAGCCUGGAGGUUUUCAAAAGAAUUAGAGAGAAGAGAGGAAUAGAGGUGAAAGAGAAAAAAUGUAUUACUCCCAAAGUGUUUACAAGAGAGCUUACAAGAGUAGUUGAGUUGCUUGCUCAUAGCUUAAUGCUCAGAUGCCAAAAGCUAUGUCCUAUUUAGAGGGAGGCUUGCCAAGCUCUAGCGUUUUAAAGAAUUCUACCAACUUGCCUAAAUAUCUAGAUAUUUACAUGUGCUGCUGUACCGUACAUCCGCCUUGGCCGUACAGCAGAAAUCGGCUCACUCAUUGAACUUGAAUACCUCGACUUUUCUGCUAAUAGGUUCAACAAUUCAGUCCCAGAAAGUCUCGGCAACUUGCAGAAAUUGCACUACUUGGGCUUAAGCAACAACCAGUUUGUCCUAGAAUUGCCAAAGGAAUUGGAGAAGCUAUUUAAACUUUCAGAAUUAGAUGCAAGUCAUAACCUUUUUGGAGGAGAGAUACCAUUUCAAAUAUGCAGUAUGGAAAGCUUGGAGAAGUUGAAUCUCUCCCACAAUAAUCUCUCUGGUUCGAUUCCAAAUUGCUUUGAGGGAAUGCACGGUCUAUCAGUCAUUGACAUUUCCGAUAAUCAAUUGCAAGGCCCAGUUCCAAAUAGCACAGCAUUUCGGAAUGCCCCAGUGGAAGCGUUAGAGGGAAAUACGGAAUUGUGUGGAAGUGUGAAAGGAAUGCACCCAUGCAAAGUUUUCUCGUCACACAAGCAAAAUUCUGGAGCCAAGUGGUUUGCAAUAGUGUUCCCUGUUUUAGGAGCACUAUUUGUUUCAAUGGGGUUGAUAGCAAUUUUCAUUCUUUUAUUUAUUUCUUUUUUGUCAAGUGAUAUAUAUACGUAUGCUUACUUAUUAGGAAAGUAUCUCAUCCACCUCUAUCAAAUCCUUGAUUCAAAGCAAUCAUCUCCAUCACAGCAUCAAUCAACUCUCUGUCAAGGCUAACAAAUCUGUUGUAUAUCUAAUUCCUUUAAUUUAGGAUCAUUUUAAUUAUUUCCUUUUACUUGCUUUGUAGAUGUGUAUAAAUCUGUACCAGUGAAUCAAUAAUAUUUAAGCCUUUAAUUACACAAUUACUUGCUGAUUCUUGUUAUUACUCUUUGUUCAAUAUCUUAUUUUGGAUAAGCUCUUGAUAGGGGAAGAGGUUGGGGAAGGCAAAGCAUGUCACGUGAUUUGCACGUGAGACAUUUGGAUUAUGUGGCUAAAUAAAAUACCGCGAUUAAUUAUCUGCUUCAUUAGUUAAGUAUCUGUUGAGUGUUGAAUGCAUGCAAGAUCUAAAGUUGAAUAUUGUUAAGUGAUGUUUCUCUAAAGUUUAUACAAAAAAUAUUAUUAAAAAAGUUCGUCUAGUCCACAAACGAGUGGUAUCAAAUAUACAACGCGCAGCCUUUAAUAUUGCAUGCUUUCGCUAUCUUUCAGGAAUAAUUCACUAUAUUCCAUGAGAAACUGACUGUGGGAUUGAAAGACGAGUUUCAAACCAAGUUUACUUCCGAAACAAGAAUUGAAUUCAUGAUUCUUGUAACAGUUAAAUUACAAAAUUUAUAAUCUUUUGUAGUUGAAUUUAAAAUGUAUUCUAUCCCUCAUCAAUUAAUGGUCAUCGUUGUUUUUAUAAUUUGUAAAUUACAAAUUUUCAGCAUGUGAAUUAUAAAUAUGAAAAUGUGAAAAGUAAAAAAUAAAUUAAUAAGUAGAUAUAAUAGAAAUAAAUUGACAACAAGAAGCUUUUGAGUAAAUUUUUAAAAUAUAGGAAGUAACUAAAUAAUUGACUUUAACGAUAGGGACUAAAAAAAUAUUUAUUGGUCACAGAUGAAAUGAGUAAUUGAAAAAACAUACAAGAUUUAGGUGAAAAAAUGAGAAAUAUUAGGAAUAUAUAUCAUUCUUCCUGAUUUUUAUUCGUCAAAUUUAGGUGUCUUUUUUGAAACAUUAGGGGAUUUUGUGUCCCUUAUUCAAACGUUAGGGGUCUCUGUGUCCUUUUCCCUUGAAAAAACAUACAAGAUUUAGGUGAAAAAAUGAGAAAUAUUAGGAAUAUAUAUCAUUCUUCCUGAUUUUUAUUCGUCAAAUUUAAGUGUGCCAAUUAAAUCCUGGGACGUCAAGCAAACUAGCCAUGAUAAUAAAUCUAUUCUGCAAUUAUUUUAGGCCUCUGUCUUUCAAUUAAGCAUAUAUGUACAGUUUUCUAACUCAUACUUGAUUUUCAGUAAUGGCAUAAUUUGUCCUUCCAAUUUUAGACAUGGACCACUACCAUUUUGUGAUGUGAAUUUGUUUUUGAAAAGGUGAUCUGAAUGUUAGCAUUGCGAAUUAGAGAAUUAUUCAACCCAUCACCACAGACUAAUAAUAUCGUUUUAAAUCUGGGCAGCGGCUAAAGUUACAGCCCGCGGCUAUUAUUCGUUGGAUUUGUCGGCUGAAAUCCAACGGAUAAAAUUAAUGGAAGCAUGAAAAAUCAGUGCUGCGAAACUUGAUAGAAGGAUUAAUUUUCAACACAUCCACACGAAUCUACAAUCAUCAUUUAUACCUUCAUGGUUUGUAAGUCAUCAUUCAGCACUCAUUUCGUUUUUUUAAAAAUAAAUAAAUAAAUAACUUCAACAAUUUGGAUAUUUGACCAAAUAAGUAACUGUAUUACUUUAUUAAUAAUUUUUUAAUAUAUAAAGACAAACAUAUUCUUGAGAAUUUUGUGUUUCACAUAUGACACAAAUGAUACUUAGAAAAGAGUAUUUUCAAUAAAUUUUUUUUAUAUAAAUACGAGAAUAUUUCUGAAAGUAAUUUAUAUAUAAAUGCAAAAAAAAAAAUCUCAGAUGACCUUUCUUAAUGAGAAAUUAAAAAAAAAAUGUCUAGAAUAUUUAGGAAAUUAUUUUGACCAGUUGAAUUUGUAAUCUCAUAUUUUGGUGUCUAACUUUACUCAAUUAAUAAAAUUUGUCCAAAAUGUUCAAAACUCUAAAACAAUUUUUUUUUUUUAAAGUCUAUUUCAAAAAAUAACUUGAUUACUACAAAAUAAAAUUUGUAAUAUCAAAUAAAGAAGAAAUUUAGACAAUUAACCAAUUAAAAUCCUCAUUAAUUUUUUUUGGUGACUUAGUAAGGUCUUUUGACCAUAUUUGACCACUAUGGCGUCUUUAACAUAAAUUUAUUUGAAUAUUUUAACUUCAAUAAUUUUUUAGUAAAAUGUUACAUAUUUGUGAAUGAUUUAUUGUUACUAUUUUAUUAAUACGAUCAUUAACUUUCAGUGAAACUAGCAAAAUGUAUUUGUGACAUGAUAUCUCAUGGAAUUUAUUGGCUAUCAAGUUUUAUGUUAUUUACACAUACGAGUAUUGAAAAAUUAUUGGGUUUCAAUUCAAAAUGUUAGAUUAUAUAGGUUACAAAACUAAAUACCUAAAUUAAUGCUAUGUUUGCUGCACAACUUCAUUUGCAAACUUCGUAUGGCAAAUUAACUACAUUUGGGAGCCUCUGUGAGCCACCAAUUCUACAGUAAUAUGGCAACUAAAACAUGUGAAUAAUUAAUUUCUUAGGUCAAUGGUGCUUGUCAUUAACAAAUUAAGUCGCCAGUAAGCACAUAGAUCAGUUGGCAUGAAGCUAUUCUAUCUCAACUAAGAUCUUCGAUUCGAGAUUUGAGAAUGCAGCUGUGUUAAAUACUUGUUGAAAGAAUUUUACCGCCCUAAAAGUCCAAACCGACUCAAAUCUGGAUUAAUCGGUGCCCAUUAUGAUCUUUAGAUACUAGAUAAUUUAAUAUACCGAAAAGAUAAAAUUAAGUUCAAGAGCGAUUUAUGAUGCUUCAUUGGCUCCAAAAGAUCGAAUCAACAAAAUGGCCUAGAACCACAAGCACGCGUAAUUUGCAGAACAUGCCUAGUUCAUUUCAAAAUUUUGUCAAGUUGGCAAUAAAUUAACGAGUGUUUCACAAAACAGUAUUCAAGUUUCACAUCGUGAAAAUAGGAAUUAAUUUGAUCCACUAGUCAACAACAUACAGAACGUUUAUUGCUCAAAUUGAAGAAACUUAAGAAGACAAACAGAUCGAAGAUUAAGAAAAAUCACUUCAAGAAAAAGGCUCGUAUAUGUGACGUUAUACUUUGUCCUCUCCCAUAGAUACAGUCAAAUUUUCUAUUUCUUGAUGCUAAAAAAUAAAAGAAAAUGUAGAUAUAUAUGACUGAAUCCAUCACUUUUAUUAGUCGAAUAAGCAAGAGAACAACAUUAACAAGGGGAAACAGAGGGAAACCACACUCUUAUUUGACUAAACUAAUCAAAAUUCUCCUGAUCUUUUAAAACACAUCCAAACUGAUAUUAGUAUACGUAUAUUUAUUUUACCUUUAAUUUUUCAAUUAAUUCUGAAAUUUUUCUAUUUUCUAGGAUGAGUUUUCAUGGACAUUAAUUGUGGUUACAAGAAGAGGCAAUUAAUACAAAGAUUGAUCUGACAAAACUGCAACAAGUGGACUUUCUUUGGGUAAUCUUUAUAGCUAAACAUCUUUGAAGACUUUUGGCACAGCGAGAAGGGAAAAUUCUUCUCUACUUUAGAGGUCUUGCUCAGCCAUUGACUUGUUAACUACUCGUUAAUUGCUUUUGUACUUGUGGGUUCCAUAAUUUUGACUCCAGAUAUGCUUGUAUGCUCAACUUCAUCAAUUUAUAAGGUUUGAAAACCUUUCCAAUUUCAAUCCACUUCGGUUUGUCUUUAAUUUUUUCACCAAAUUUCCACUAGGAUCCGAUUCGAAUUAAUUGAGUGGUUCUCACUGGAUCCAACUUAAAUCUGAUUCAAAUAAAUAAAUUUAUAUUUGAGGGAAGCUUGUGCUAAAUUUGUAUUUAAAUAUGUUUUCUGAUGGUUGGGGCAAGUGACUCAAGUGUGCUUGGUGGAUAAUUCAUAUGGUCUCACAAAAUACUUAGCAUAACUGGAGUAGCUCAAAUAAGCUCAUACCUAAAAUAUAAUCUCGACCUCAAAUUGAAAAUAUAGUAAAAUAAGCGUAAAUAUAAAGAGCACGCAAUGUUUACCUGAUUUGGUCUUCAAUUGAUGUCCAUAAGAGCAAGUCGUUGCUAAUCCACUAUAUAAAUGAAAGAUUACAUGAAAUUUUAAGAUGAAUAACACAAGCUAUAUAGCUAGAUAUCUAUAUAGAGAUUGGUGUUCAUAAAGAUAAAGAUGGUGACUAAAGAUAUGAAGAGUGAUGGUAUGGUAGAGAAGAUAAUGGGGUGGAGAAUGAAAAAUGGCCUCCUAAAAAUGGAGAAGUUUGUGAUGAAGGUUAAAUUAUCUAACGAAGAUAAUUUUUUGAAAGGAAUCAACUUACAGGACAUCUACCCCCGCAAAUUAGCUUACUUAUUAGUUGAACUUAUGUACCUCUACAUAAAGUCUACGCAAUUUUAGUAUACGAUGUUGUGCAAAAAUUAUGCAAUUCACGGCACGCUAAUCAUCAUCAUUUGCAUGAACAACACUUUUGUACUCACCAUGUGUAGUGGUGGUUCCCUACUUCCCACUUAUUUAGAGAUAUAAAUCAUAUGAUAUGGAUACCCCUGCCCCUGAUAUUUCCGGUCGAGCUUCAGAAAUUUCAAAGGAGAUAGCCCUUUAAGACCUUUUUUGCUUUUUGCUUUUUCUUCAAUUAUUUGAUUGUUUUUAUCAUUACCAGUUUGCCUGCCAACCCAUCUACCAAAAUCAAAUCACUCCCUUUCUUUUCCUCUUUUGAUAGCCAUAGCUAAUGUUGAGAAAGAAUGGUUAAGGAUUCUCUCGUUCCAACACCUGUAUCUUUGUGAAAUAUGCCUCCAAUAUCAAUUGUCUAAUGGUAAAUGAACUGUUUCUUAUCCAAGGUUUUUGUGAGUGUUAAAAUGAAAAUGGAUAAUAAUGAUGAUAACAUUACUCUUAAUUUCCUUUCCUUUUUCUAAUUAACAAAGAACACCCCCAUUGAAUGAUUACCAAGUGUAAAUAAGAGAACGGUUAAUUUGACACACACUCUCUCUCUCUCUCUCUCUAUAUAUAUAUAUAUAUAUGGAAGUUCAUAAUCUAAUAAAAUUAGACUUGUCAUAAGAUGCCAACUUUAUAAAUAAUGGACUAAACACUGCCCACUGCAUAAUUAAUGUAAAUCUAAGCAGGCAGUGGCGAAGCUAGCACUAUUUUUUGGGGUGGGCUAGAUUUUUUUAAAAUUCAAUUACUUCUCAAAAAAUUUAUUCUAUACAAAUGAAAUUAUUAAAAUAUGCUAGACAAGUAAAAAAUUAAUAAUAAAAUUAUAAAAAUACAAUGUAAAUAAAAAAAAUACUAUCGACGAAAUUUCGUUCUGCGUUUCUUCAAAAAAGAAAACUCAUAUAUUAUCGUAUCUGAAUUAUAUUGUCUGUGAUAAUAAUACAUUAGAGAAUUAUUCAUUAUUUUAUCAAAAAAAAUUGACAAAAGUAUAAGCCAAUAACUAAUUCAAAAAUAGUAUGAGCAUGUGGGUACGACAGAGGCUGGUUGUCACUCAUGAGGUGGCAACUUGAUGACUUGAACAUCUAAGUUUUAGGGAAUUUAGAAUUUAGAUAAUUUGAUCAAUUAGUCAGGGAUUUGAGUUAAUUUUUCGAUUUAAAAAAAAUAGAUAUUGACUAUAAUUAUUAGUUAUAUUUUUAUAUUUUACUAUAAGUUUUUUUUUAAUUUAUAAUUCAUUAAUAUUUUUUUUCAAGAAACUAACCCGGGCUGCAGCCCGGGUUAGCCUCCUCAGAGCUUCACCCCUGUAAACAGGUUUAGGUUUUUUUAAAUCAUAUUCUUGGGUGAGAUUCCAAAAGAACUUUCAAAAUUAAAUGAUCUAACGAAACUCAUUUUUUAGGGGGAAAUGAAUCAACUUACAGGACAUAUAUCUCCAGAAAUUAGAUUACUUAUUAGUUGAACUUACGUGUUAGAGUUAUAAAUAUAAAGAAUAUUUUUGUAAUGAUUCUGCUGAUGUGGCAGCUGAGUAAGCAAGGCUGUUAUUGUUAGUUUGUAAGUUUGUUAUAGAGCUGUGAAGUUAGUUAAUCACAGCUCACUCUUAACACGUGUGUGAGCAAAUGCAGAAAGUUCUGGAUCUUAGUAUAUAAGCUCAACUUCUGUACUCAUAAUUCAUUGAAUAAGAUUCGAUCUAUUUUUCUUAUAUUUUCUCUUAUUGCUCAUUAAAUUUUCCUUCACUUUCUCUGUAACCAAACAAGCAUAAAUAGCUUGGUUAAACUUCAAUUUUACGUACGUCUGCAAAUGGAUUUAACGUCAACGCACUGAAUCCCAAAAGGUCCACACAAUAAUUGGUUAGCUGCGAAUGAGAACUCGAAAAUGACAUACGUAAUUUUAUAAGCCACCAAUAAUAAUGGAGGCUCUUACGUUGAGUUUUAUUACAGUCUCUGAAUUCUAACUUUUUUUAUUUAAAUCCUGUACGCUGGUGGCGUAUGUAUUAUACAGUCUGAGUAUAUCUAUUGGGAGUCUGAUUCAUACAUAUGAAACUUUUCGUGACAGAAUAAAUUCAAAUUAGACUGGGACCAUACCGUUUUAUCCUGAGGCCACACUCUUAUAAGGUAAAAUCAAUCAUUUUUAUAUUAAGAAGUGGGUCAACGCUACAAUACCCGCAUGUAUCACAUACAUGCGGAUAAUAAAAAAAAAAAAAAAAAUAUGGCCAAAGUGGCAGCCAAACAAAAGAAAAACUUGGAGCAACCGGUUGCUCCUUAAAUUAAUAUUAAAUUAUAAAAUAAUAUAAUAAAUAAAUAUAAUAAAUAUAAUAAUAAUUAUUUUAAUAAUAAAGGCAACAUAAUAAUAAAAAAUUAGUAUUAAAAAUUAGUUUCAAAUCUAAUGGUAGUUGUUUCAUAUUUAUUGGUCCAUUAAUCGGGGUUGCAAGUUAAUGAACCUAAAUUUCAUGCUCAUUGCCUUCAGUUUCAAGUUCAUUGCCCUCAGUUUCAAGUUAAUUUGAUUUCAAAUUUAAUGGUCCGAGUUUCAAGUUAAUGGUAGGUGUUUCAUGUUUAUUGGUCCAUUAAUUGCAUCAUUUUCGGGGUUGCAAGUUAAUAAUCCCAAGUUUCAUGUUCACUGCUCUAAGUUUCAAGUUCCUUUGAUUUCUAGUUUAAUGGUCCCAGUUUCAAGUUAAUGGUAGGUGUUUCGUGUUUAUUGUUCCAUUAAUCGGGGGUUACAAGUUAAUGAUCUUAAGUUUCAUGCUCAUUGCCCCCAGUUUCAAAUUCAUUGCCCUCAGUUUCAAGUUCAUUUGGUUUCUAGUUUAUUGGUCCUAGUUUCAAGUUAAUGGUAGGUGUUUCAUGUUUAUUGGUUGCAAGUUAAUGAUCCUAAGUUUCAUAUUCAUUAUCCUCAGUUUCAAGUUCAUUACCCUCAGUUUUAAAUUUAUUUGGUUUCAAGUUUAAUGGUCUCAGUUUCAAGUUUAUGGUAGGUGUUUCAUGUUUAUUAGUCCAUUAAUUGGGGUUGCAAGUUAAUGAUCCUAAGUUUCAUGUUCAUUACCUUCAGUUUCAAGUUCAUUGCCCUCAGUUUCAAGUUAAUUUGAUUUCAAAUUUAAUGGUCCGAGUUUCAAGUUAAUGGUAGGUGUUUCAUGUUUAUUGGUUGCAAGUUAAUGAUCCUAAGUUUCAUAUUCAUUAUCCUCAGUUUCAAGUUCAUUACCCUCAGUUUUAAAUUUAUUUGGUUUCAAGUUUAAUGGUCUCAGUUUCAAGUUUAUGGUAGGUGUUUCAUGUUUAUUAGUCCAUUAAUUGGGGUUGCAAGUUAAUGAUCCUAAGUUUCAUGUUCAUUACCUUCAGUUUCAAGUUCAUUGCCCUCAGUUUCAAGUUAAUUUGGUUUCAAAUUUAAUGGUCUUAGUUUCAAGUUAAUGAUAGGUGUUUCAUGUUUAUUGGUCCAUUAAUCGAGGUUGCAAGUUAAUGAUCCUAAGUUUUAUGUUCAUUGCACUCAGUUUCAUGUUCAUUGCCCUCAGUUUCAAAUUCAUUUGGUUUCAAGUUUAAUGAUCUCAGUUUCAAAUUAAUGGUAAGCGUUUCAUGUUUAUUGGUCCAUUAAUUGCAUGAUUUUCGGGGUUGCAAAUUAAUGAUCCCAAGUUCCAUGUUCAUUGCCCUCAAUUGCAAGUUCAUUUAGUUUUAAGUUUAAUGGUCCCAGUUUCAAGUUAAUGGUAGGUGUUUCAUGUUUAUUGGUUGCAAGUUAAUGAUCCUAAGUUUCAUAUUCAUUAUCCUCAGUUUCAAGUUCAUUACCCUCAGUUUUAAAUUUAUUUGGUUUCAAGUUUAAUGGUCUCAGUUUCAAGUUUAUGGUAGGUGUUUCAUGUUUAUUAGUCCAUUAAUUGGGGUUGCAAGUUAAUGAUCCUAAGUUUCAUGUUCAUUACCUUCAGUUUCAAGUUCAUUGCCCUCAGUUUCAAGUUAAUUUGGUUUCAAAUUUAAUGGUCUUAGUUUCAAGUUAAUGAUAGGUGUUUCAUGUUUAUUGGUCCAUUAAUCGAGGUUGCAAGUUAAUGAUCCUAAGUUUUAUGUUCAUUGCACUCAGUUUCAUGUUCAUUGCCCUCAGUUUCAAAUUCAUUUGGUUUCAAGUUUAAUGAUCUCAGUUUCAAAUUAAUGGUAAGCGUUUCAUGUUUAUUGGUCCAUUAAUUGCAUGAUUUUCGGGGUUGCAAAUUAAUGAUCCCAAGUUCCAUGUUCAUUGCCCUCAAUUGCAAGUUCAUUUAGUUUUAAGUUUAAUGGUCCCAGUUUCAAGUUAAUGGUAGGUGUUUCAUGUUUAUUGGUUGCAAGUUAAUGAUCCUAAGUUUCAUAUUCAUUAUCCUCAGUUUCAAGUUCAUUACCCUCAGUUUUAAAUUUAUUUGGUUUCAAGUUUAAUGGUCUCAGUUUCAAGUUUAUGGUAGGUGUUUCAUGUUUAUUAGUCCAUUAAUUGGGGUUGCAAGUUAAUGAUCCUAAGUUUCAUGUUCAUUACCUUCAGUUUCAAGUUCAUUGCCCUCAGUUUCAAGUUAAUUUGGUUUCAAAUUUAAUGGUCUUAGUUUCAAGUUAAUGAUAGGUGUUUCAUGUUUAUUGGUCCAUUAAUCGAGGUUGCAAGUUAAUGAUCCUAAGUUUUAUGUUCAUUGCACUCAGUUUCAUGUUCAUUGCCCUCAGUUUCAAAUUCAUUUGGUUUCAAGUUUAAUGAUCUCAGUUUCAAAUUAAUGGUAAGCGUUUCAUGUUUAUUGGUCCAUUAAUUGCAUGAUUUUCGGGGUUGCAAAUUAAUGAUCCCAAGUUCCAUGUUCAUUGCCCUCAAUUGCAAGUUCAUUUAGUUUUAAGUUUAAUGGUCCCAGUUUCAAGUUAAUGGUAGGUGUUUCAUGUUUAUUGGUUGCAAGUUAAUGAUCCUAAGUUUCAUAUUCAUUAUCCUCAGUUUCAAGUUCAUUACCCUCAGUUUUAAAUUUAUUUGGUUUCAAGUUUAAUGGUCUCAGUUUCAAGUUUAUGGUAGGUGUUUCAUGUUUAUUAGUCCAUUAAUUGGGGUUGCAAGUUAAUGAUCCUAAGUUUCAUGUUCAUUACCUUCAGUUUCAAGUUCAUUGCCCUCAGUUUCAAGUUAAUUUGGUUUCAAAUUUAAUGGUCUUAGUUUCAAGUUAAUGAUAGGUGUUUCAUGUUUAUUGGUCCAUUAAUCGAGGUUGCAAGUUAAUGAUCCUAAGUUUUAUGUUCAUUGCACUCAGUUUCAUGUUCAUUGCCCUCAGUUUCAAAUUCAUUUGGUUUCAAGUUUAAUGAUCUCAGUUUCAAAUUAAUGGUAAGCGUUUCAUGUUUAUUGGUCCAUUAAUUGCAUGAUUUUCGGGGUUGCAAAUUAAUGAUCCCAAGUUCCAUGUUCAUUGCCCUCAAUUGCAAGUUCAUUUAGUUUUAAGUUUAAUGGUCCCAGUUUCAAGUUAAUGGUAGGUGUUUCAUGUUUAUUGGUUGCAAGUUAAUGAUCCUAAGUUUCAUAUUCAUUAUCCUCAGUUUCAAGUUCAUUACCCUCAGUUUUAAAUUUAUUUGGUUUCAAGUUUAAUGGUCUCAGUUUCAAGUUUAUGGUAGGUGUUUCAUGUUUAUUAGUCCAUUAAUUGGGGUUGCAAGUUAAUGAUCCUAAGUUUCAUGUUCAUUACCUUCAGUUUCAAGUUCAUUGCCCUCAGUUUCAAGUUAAUUUGGUUUCAAAUUUAAUGGUCUUAGUUUCAAGUUAAUGAUAGGUGUUUCAUGUUUAUUGGUCCAUUAAUCGAGGUUGCAAGUUAAUGAUCCUAAGUUUUAUGUUCAUUGCACUCAGUUUCAUGUUCAUUGCCCUCAGUUUCAAAUUCAUUUGGUUUCAAGUUUAAUGAUCUCAGUUUCAAAUUAAUGGUAAGCGUUUCAUGUUUAUUGGUCCAUUAAUUGCAUGAUUUUCGGGGUUGCAAAUUAAUGAUCCCAAGUUCCAUGUUCAUUGCCCUCAAUUGCAAGUUCAUUUAGUUUUAAGUUUAAUGGUCCCAGUUUCAAGUUAAUGGUAGGUGUUUCAUGUUUAUUGGUUGCAAGUUAAUGAUCCUAAGUUUCAUAUUCAUUAUCCUCAGUUUCAAGUUCAUUACCCUCAGUUUUAAAUUUAUUUGGUUUCAAGUUUAAUGGUCUCAGUUUCAAGUUUAUGGUAGGUGUUUCAUGUUUAUUAGUCCAUUAAUUGGGGUUGCAAGUUAAUGAUCCUAAGUUUCAUGUUCAUUACCUUCAGUUUCAAGUUCAUUGCCCUCAGUUUCAAGUUAAUUUGGUUUCAAAUUUAAUGGUCUUAGUUUCAAGUUAAUGAUAGGUGUUUCAUGUUUAUUGGUCCAUUAAUCGAGGUUGCAAGUUAAUGAUCCUAAGUUUUAUGUUCAUUGCACUCAGUUUCAUGUUCAUUGCCCUCAGUUUCAAAUUCAUUUGGUUUCAAGUUUAAUGAUCUCAGUUUCAAAUUAAUGGUAAGCGUUUCAUGUUUAUUGGUCCAUUAAUUGCAUGAUUUUCGGGGUUGCAAAUUAAUGAUCCCAAGUUCCAUGUUCAUUGCCCUCAAUUGCAAGUUCAUUUAGUUUUAAGUUUAAUGGUCCCAGUUUCAAGUUAAUGGUAGGUGUUUCAUGUUUAUUGGUUGCAAGUUAAUGAUCCUAAGUUUCAUAUUCAUUAUCCUCAGUUUCAAGUUCAUUACCCUCAGUUUUAAAUUUAUUUGGUUUCAAGUUUAAUGGUCUCAGUUUCAAGUUUAUGGUAGGUGUUUCAUGUUUAUUAGUCCAUUAAUUGGGGUUGCAAGUUAAUGAUCCUAAGUUUCAUGUUCAUUACCUUCAGUUUCAAGUUCAUUGCCCUCAGUUUCAAGUUAAUUUGGUUUCAAAUUUAAUGGUCUUAGUUUCAAGUUAAUGAUAGGUGUUUCAUGUUUAUUGGUCCAUUAAUCGAGGUUGCAAGUUAAUGAUCCUAAGUUUUAUGUUCGGUAGCUUGGCUGCGAUCUUGAGCAGUGAUGCAGCAGCACAAGAACUGGGUUGGAGUCACAGAAUGAAUGUGAUCAAAGGCGUAGCCGAUGCCUUGUCUUACUUGCACCAUGACUGCUUUC
This 28873-nucleotide long non-coding RNA is filed under the name Citrus sinensis (sweet orange). Its description in RNAcentral is "long non-coding RNA (CSIN_LNC005077)". Lineage: Eukaryota; Viridiplantae; Streptophyta; Magnoliopsida; Sapindales; Rutaceae. The record is from RNAcentral.